Molecule: ribosomal RNA, 523 nt
Filed under: uncultured bacterium
Lineage: Bacteria
Description: bacterial SSU rRNA
Rfam family: Bacterial small subunit ribosomal RNA
Source: RNAcentral
UGGGGAAUAUUGGACAAUGGACCAAAAGUCUGAUCCAGCAAUUCUGUGUGCACGAUGACGUUUUUCGGAAUGUAAAGUGCUUUCAGUUGGGAAGAAAAAAAUGACGGUACCAACAGAAGAAGUGACGGCUAAAUACGUGCCAGCAGCCGCGGUAAUACGUAUGUCACAAGCGUUAUCCGGAUUUAUUGGGCGUAAAGCGCGUCUAGGUGGUUAUGUAAGUCUGAUGUGAAAAUGCAGGGCUCAACUCUGUAUUGCGUUGGAAACUGCAUGACUAGAGUACUGGAGAGGUAAGCGGAACUACAAGUGUAGAGGUGAAAUUCGUAGAUAUUUGUAGGAAUGCCGAUGGGGAAGCCAGCUUACUGGACAGAUACUGACGCUAAAGCGCGAAAGCGUGGGUAGCAAACAGGAUUAGAUACCCUGGUAGUCCACGCCGUAACGAUGAUUACUAGGUGUUGGGGGUCGAACCUCAGCGCCCAAGCUAACGCGAUAAGUAAUCCGCCUGGGGAGUACGUACGCAAGUAUG